This 431-nucleotide long non-coding RNA is filed under the name Helianthus annuus (common sunflower). Lineage: Eukaryota; Viridiplantae; Streptophyta; Magnoliopsida; Asterales; Asteraceae. The record is from RNAcentral.
AUGAUCAUUGUAUCAAGGGACGGUGGAUUGACUUUUCGAAAAAGUCAGCUAGGGUUCCGGCGAGAUUCCGGUAACCCGGUUCAGUAGUUUGCAGUGAAUUAAACCGAAGUAAAAGCGUAGUGGAAUGUUUUGGGUCGGGGAACAGGACCAUGUUUUCGGUGGACAAUUAUUGUACCAUUUAGCCACUAACAGAAGAUCAUAAGUAAUGGAACUGGAAUGUUACAAUGUGAUAAUAAUGUCAUAUGAGACUGGGGCUAGGUUAGAGUGUCAGGUAAUACAAAGGAAAAAAUGGAAAUGGCAAGUUUGAACAUGGUUCUAGCACCACAAGAAGAAUGAAGAGAUAUCCGUGAAGUUGGUAAGGCAACAGUUAUGGAACUGGUUAGAUCUGAACCUACCAGCAAGUGAGUUCAAAUUGAAUAAAAUUGCAACUC